RNAcentral lists this transfer RNA (72 nucleotides) under Bos taurus (domestic cattle). It matches the Rfam family "tRNA". Rfam says of the family: Transfer RNA (tRNA) molecules are approximately 80 nucleotides in length. Their secondary structure includes four short double-helical elements and three loops (D, anti-codon, and T loops). Further hydrogen bonds mediate the characteristic L-shaped molecular structure. tRNAs have two regions of fundamental functional importance: the anti-codon, which is responsible for specific mRNA codon recognition, and the 3' end, to which the tRNAs corresponding amino acid is attached (by aminoacyl-tRNA synthetases). tRNAs cope with the degeneracy of the genetic code in two manners: having more than one tRNA (with a specific anti-codon) for a particular amino acid; and 'wobble' base-pairing, i.e. permitting non-standard base-pairing at the 3rd anti-codon position. Lineage: Eukaryota; Metazoa; Chordata; Mammalia; Artiodactyla; Bovidae. The record is from Rfam by way of RNAcentral. RNAcentral also lists the same sequence under 5 other names.
UCCCUGGUAGCUCAGUUGGUAAAGAACCUGCCUGCAGUGCAGGAGACACAGGUUAAAUCCCUGGGUAAGGAA